Non-coding RNA from Acanthosepion pharaonis, 110 nucleotides. NCBI's taxonomy places the organism in Eukaryota, Metazoa, Mollusca, Cephalopoda, Sepiida, Sepiidae. The record is from the annotation of a GenBank genome assembly.
GUUCAUAGCACGUUGAAACACCAGUUCUCAUAUGGUCACCGAAGUAAAGCAACAUUGAAUCUGGUCAAUAUCUAGAUGGGUGACCACUUGGGAAUACUAGGUGCUGUAAG